This 301-nucleotide ribosomal RNA is filed under the name uncultured bacterium. RNAcentral describes it as "partial 16S ribosomal RNA". It matches the Rfam family "Bacterial small subunit ribosomal RNA", at positions 509 to 807 of the family's 1533-position model. The record is from RNAcentral.
CAGCAGCCGCGGUAAUACGUAGGGCGCGAGCGUUGUCCGGAAUUAUUGGGCGUAAAGAGCUUGUAGGCGGUUGGUCGCGUCUGCUGUGAAAGGCCGGGGCUUAACUCCGGUUUUGCAGUGGGUACGGGCUAACUAGAGUGCAGUAGGGGAGACUGGAAUUCCUGGUGUAGCGGUGGAAUGCACAGAUAUCAGGAGGAACACCGAUGGCGAAGGCAGGUCUCUGGGCUGUAACUGACGCUGAGAAGCGAAAGCAUGGGGAGCGAACAGGAUUAGAUACCCGGGUAGUCCCUGUCUCUUAUAC